GAUGAAGAACGUAGCGAAAUGCGAUAAGUAAUGUGAAUUGCAGAAUUCAGUGAAUCAUCGAAUCUUUGAACGCACAUUGCGCCCCCCAGUAUUCUGGCGGGCAUGCCUGUUCGAGCGUCAUUUCAACCAUCAAGCCCUGCUUGUGUUGGGGUCCUGCGGCUGCCCGCAGGCCCUGAAAACCAGUGGCGGGCUCGCUAGUCACACCGAGCGCAGUAGCACAUCUCGCUCAGGGCGUGCGGCGGGCUCCAGCCGUUAAAGCACCCACCUUACGCAAGGUUGACCUCGGAUCAGGUAGGAAUACCCGCUGAACUUAAGCAUAUCAAUAAGCGGAGGA
This 334-nucleotide unclassified non-coding RNA is filed under the name soil metagenome. RNAcentral's name for it is "partial contains 5.8S ribosomal RNA, internal transcribed spacer 2, and large subunit ribosomal RNA". The stretch from base 1 to 120 matches the Rfam family "5.8S ribosomal RNA", at positions 35 to 154 of the family's 154-position model. The record is from RNAcentral.